Molecule: long non-coding RNA, 2432 nt
Filed under: Canis lupus familiaris (dog)
Lineage: Eukaryota; Metazoa; Chordata; Mammalia; Carnivora; Canidae
Description: lncRNA (ENSCAFG00805006814.1, ENSCAFG00845009237.1)
Source: RNAcentral
UUACAAAUCCAACAAGUACAUUGUUAUGGUUAUUAUGUAAUGUUAUAACUUUUGAAGAAGCUGAGAAAAGAUAGGAGAAUAAGCAAAUAUUUAUAGCUUUUCUAUAUUAACCUCAAUAUUUACCAUUUUUGGUUUUCUUCAUUUGUUUCUGUGGAUUCCAGUUACUAUCUUGAGUAAUUUUAUUAUCCCCAAAGAGCUUUGCUUCUACCUACCUUCUUUGUGCUGUUAUUGACCAAUAUACAUUUCUAAAUGUUAGACCUGACAAUACAUUACAUGCAUAUUCUUUUAUAUUAUUACUUUUAAAUCAAUUAAGAAAAAGAUAAGAAAUAUACAUAUAUACUAUCUUCCAUAAUAACACAAUUACUUUUUCCAGCAUUCAGUUUUAUCAUGCCAAUAUAAAAUUUCAUUUAUUUUUUAAAUUUUUAAAAAAGAUUUUAUUUAUAAAUUUGAGAGAGAGGAUGACCAGAGAAGGGUGAGAGGGGUAGAAGCAGACUCCCUGCUGAGCAGGAAGCCUGAUGCAGGAUUCAAUCCCAGGACCCUGGGAUCAUGAUCUGAGCUGAAGGCAGAUACUUAACCAACUGAGACACCCAGGCCCAGUUGCUGAGGAACAACCAGAAAAGAGAGGCAGGGACAAGCUCAGAGUGUUAAGUCCUUUCCAGUCUAAUGAAAAUGGAAUCAUGGGCAGAAGCUGGUCUCAUAAUUCUCCACCCUACUCAGGGCACCACGUAGUGGCUGGGUCAGUCCUUGUUGGUCACUAAAGGGCCAUAAAGUAGAAUUUAGAAGAGACCUACCUGAGGAGACCUUUCCUCUCAGUUCUGGUCCAGGGUCUGUUGCAGGGCUUCUCCAUAAGGAUGGGCCAGGGUUCAUUUGUCAGCCUCCUGUAUAGUCAGUCUGUUGUAAAUUCUGUGAAUGCAUCAGCAUCAGGGGACAUUGUUGCUACUCUUCUUUAUGGCCCUGGGCUUGGGCACAAAGUGAUUAUCCUUGUCAGGAUGUGAUUCUUCUUCCUUGACUCAAGAUGAAACUCCUUUCCAAGGAUUUCCCCAUUCUUGUAGGAAACUGAAUUUCCUGGUGUUGCCAAGCACUGGCCUGGAAGGGACAGAAAAUGUGGAUGCACCUUGGCAUGACUCACUCUGUAUAUUUGGGUGAUUUUCAGACACUCUCCUUCUACAGUGACAAGGCCCACACAUUCCUUUAGGUCUGCUGGUGGGAGGUGAGAAAUCCUUAAAUGGGAAGAUCAGGAACUAGCAUCACUGGGCAAAGUAAUGUCCAAUCCCCAUACUCAAACCUGUCAGAAAGCAUCUGUGCAUCUGGAUAUUAUUCGAGUUCAUGAAUGAAAAAAAUAUGAAAACUGACCGAACAAAGGGAUUCUGACUAAGGAAUUCCUGGCCUGGAGGGGCUCUUCCUUUGUUUCAGGGAAUGUGAUAGGUGUCCUUGUAAGGGACCUCAUUUACCUUCCGCUCUGUGGGCAAAGACAGAGCUCUAGGUACCCCGAGUCAGGCCUGUCAUCCAUGGAGCUGCCCUGUGGGCCAGGAUGGAACCUAGGGAUGGUGAAGGUCCUAGGCUGGGGUGGCAGAGACAGAGAAAAAGAAAAGUGGCUGUUAGAUUGUUGUCACCAGAAGGCUGCUCUUGUCCCUAAGUUUUUCUUCCAUUGCCUUAAGAUUUUUAAUAUUUCAUCUAGCAUCCAUCCAUGUUGUCACACAUGGCUUGAGCUUAUCCUUUUUUAUGGAUGAGUAAUAAUCCAUUGUGUACAUAUGCUGCCUUUUCCUUAUCCAUUCAUCUAUCAGUGAUGGACACUUGGGCUGUUUCCAUAUCUUGGCUCUUGUAAAUAAUGCUGCAGUGACCAUAGGGGUGCAUGUAUCUUUUCAGGUUAGUGUUUUGGUUUUCUAUGGGCAAAUAUCCAAUAGUGGAAAUAUUGGAUCAUAAGGUAUUUCUACUUUUAAUUUUUGUGAAACCUCAUGCUGUUUUCCACAGUGGUUGCACCAGUUUGCAUUCCCACCAACAGUGUAAGAGGGUUCCCUAAGUCAGCCAUAUAAUUUCAUUCAUAUGUGGCAUCUAAAAAAACAAAAACAGGGUGCCUGAGCAUCUGCCUUUGGCUCAGGUCAUGAUCCUGGGGUCCUGGGAUAGAGUCCUGCAUUGGGCUCCCUGCAGGGAGUCUGCUUCUCCCUCUCCCUCUGCCUAUGUCUCUGCCACUUUCUCUGUGUCUCUCAUGAAGAAAUAAAUAAAAUAUUUUUAAAAAGUAAACAAAAAAGAGGCGGGGCAAGAUGGCGGAAGAGUAGGGUCCCCAAGUCACCUAUCCCUGCCAACUUACUUAGAUAACUUUAAAAUCAUCCUUAAAACCUAUGAAUUCGGCCUGAGAUUUAAAAGAGAGAACAGCUGGAAGGCUACAGUGAGAAGAGUUCAUGCUUCUAUGAAGGUAGGAAGACGGAAAAAAA